UCCGGUAUGGCCUAGUGGUUAGGAUACCUCGCUCUAACCCAGGAGGCCCGGGUUCGAUUCCCGGUACCGGAA
RNAcentral lists this transfer RNA (72 nucleotides) under Cryptotermes secundus. Its description in RNAcentral is "tRNA-Sup (CTA) (tRNA-Sup-CTA-1-1)". It matches the Rfam family "tRNA". Rfam says of the family: Transfer RNA (tRNA) molecules are approximately 80 nucleotides in length. Their secondary structure includes four short double-helical elements and three loops (D, anti-codon, and T loops). Lineage: Eukaryota; Metazoa; Arthropoda; Insecta; Blattodea; Kalotermitidae. The record is from Rfam by way of RNAcentral.